CGACCCCAGGUAAGGUGGGAUUACCCGCUGAUUUUAAUCAUAUCAAUAAGCGAAGGAAAAGAAACUUACCAGGAUUUCUUUAGUAACGGCGAGUGAACCGGGAACACCCUAGCCUUAGAAUUGGGCGGCUCCGUUGUCUGAAUUGUUGUCUGGAGACGCGUCCUCAGGGGCAGACCGGGCCCAAGUCCCCUGGAAGAGGGAUCUAGAGAGGGUGAGAUCCCCGUUGUGCCCAGACCCUAUUGCAUUAUGAGGCACUGUCUACAAGUCGGGUUGUUUAGGAAUGCAGCCCAAAUCGGGCGGUGAAUUCCUUCCAAGGCUAAAUACGGGCGAGAGACCGAUAGAGAACAAGUACUGGGAGGGAAUGAUGAAAAGGACUUUGAAAAGAGAGUCAAAGAGUGCAUGAAAUUGACAGGAGAGAAGUGGAUGGGGGCUGGCGAUGCGCACCGGUCGAAUUUGGAACGGCAACGAGCCGGUCUGCCGAUCGACUCGGGGCGUGGACUAGCGUGGAUUGGAGAGGCGGCCGAAGCCCAGGCUCUCGAUAUGCUCGUAAAUGCCGUCUCCUCGAUUGUGGCAGGCAGCGCGCGCCUCCGGCGUGCUUCGGUAUCUGCACGCUCCGGACGCUGGCCUGUGGGCUCCCCAUUCGACCCAUCUUGAAACACAGACCAAGGAGUAUGACAUGUGUGUGAGUCAACGGGCGAGCAAACCCAUAAGGCGUAAGGAAGCUGACUGGUGGUAUCCCCCUAAGGGGUGCACCACCGACCGACCUUGAUCUUUUGAGAAGGGUUCAAGUGUGAACAUACCUGUCGGGACUCGAAAGAUGGUGAACUAUGCCUGAGCGGGGCGAAGCCAGAGGAAACUCUAGUGGAGGCCCGCAGCGAUACUGACGUGCAAAUCAUUCGUCUGACUUGGGUGUAGGGAUGAAAGACUAAUCAAAUCGUCUAGUAGUUGGUUCCCUCCAAAUUUUACCUCAAGAUAGCUGGAGCUCGCAUGCGAGUUCUAUCGGGUAAAACCAAUGAUUAGAGGCCUCGGGGGCGCAACGCCCUUGACCUAUUCUCAAACUUUAAAUAGGUAGGAUGGCGCGGCUGCUUUGUUGAGCCACGCCACGGAAUCAAGAGCUCCAAGUGGGCCAUUUUUGGUUAGCAGAACUGGUGAUGCGGGAUGAAUUGGAAGCCGGGUUACGGUGUCAAACUGCACGCUAACCUAGAUCUCACAAAGGGUGUUGAUUGGGAAUGGUUCCUUCGGGGGCCUUCCCUGCGCGUCGAACAGCCAACUCAGAACUAGUACGGACAAGGGGAAUCCGACUGUUUAAUUAAAACAAAACAUUGUGAUGGUCCCAACAGAUGUUCACGUAAUGUGAUUUCUGCCCAGUGCUCUGAAUGUCAAAGUAAAGAAAUUCAACCAAGCGCUAGUAAACGGCGGGAGUAACUAUUACUCUCUUAAGGUAGCCAAAUGCCUCAUCAUCUAAUUAGUGAUGCGCAUGAAUGGAUUAACAAGAUUCCCGCUGUCCCUAUCUACUAUCCAGCAAAACCACAGCCAAGGGAACGGGCUUGGCAGAAUCAGCAAAGAAAGAAGACCCUGUUGAGCUUGACUCUACUCCUACUUUAUGAAAUGACUUGAGAGGUGUAGUAGAAGUGGGAGCCGAAAGGCGAAAGUGAAAUACCACUACUUUUAACGUUAUUUUACUUAUUCUGUGAAUCGGAAGCGGGGAACUGCCCCUCUUUUUGGACCCAAGGCUCGUUCUGCGGGCGGAUCCGGGCGGAAGACAUUGUUAGGUGGGGAGUUUGGCUGGGGUGGCACAUUUGUUAAAAGAUAAUGCAGGUGUCCUAAGAUGAGCUCAACGAGAAUAGAAAUAUCGUGUGGAACAGAAGGGUAAAAACUCGUUUGAUUCUAAUUUCCAGUACGAAUACGAACUGUGAAAGAGUGGCCUAACGAUCCUUUAGACUCGCCCAUAUCCCUCUUUCAAAGAUAAUAUAGGAUCCAAAAGUAUACUCAUAUCCCUCAUUCAGUAAUGAUGUGAGAUUUUGGGAAUUUCAUGUUUUUACCCACAAAUUCCAAUUCAACAAACAAAUAUUAGUGAAACCCAACAUCUUUAAUCAAGAAUCUACACUAAUAAUUAAAACCCACUCACAUUUUCACCCUAUUCAAAUGUAAUACCAAGUUGAAUAUUUAACUACUCAUGAAAAUAGGAAAAAGAGAAUUAUCCAAGUUGACAUUCAUUUCCUCAAUUGAAA
Non-coding RNA from Capsicum annuum, 2231 nucleotides. Lineage: Eukaryota; Viridiplantae; Streptophyta; Magnoliopsida; Solanales; Solanaceae. The record is from Rfam.